This 425-nucleotide ribosomal RNA is filed under the name uncultured bacterium. RNAcentral's name for it is "partial 16S ribosomal RNA". It matches the Rfam family "Bacterial small subunit ribosomal RNA", at positions 354 to 796 of the family's 1533-position model. The record is from RNAcentral.
GUGGGGAAUCUUAGACAAUGGGCACAAGCCUGAUCUAGCCAUGCCGCGUGAGCGAUGAAGGCCUUAGGGUUGUAAAGCUCUUUCAGCUGGGAAGAUAAUGACGGUACCAGCAGAAGAAGCCCCGGCUAACUCCGUGCCAGCAGCCGCGGUAAUACGGAGGGGGCUAGCGUUGUUCGGAAUUACUGGGCGUAAAGCGCACGUAGGCGGAUCAGAAAGUCAGAGGUGAAAUCCCAGGGCUCAACCUUGGAACUGCCUUUGAAACUCCUGAUCUUGAGGUCGAGAGAGGUGAGUGGAAUUCCGAGUGUAGAGGUGAAAUUCGUAGAUAUUCGGAGGAACACCAGUGGCGAAGGCGGCUCACUGGCUCGAUACUGACGCUGAGGUGCGAAAGCGUGGGGAGCAAACAGGAUUAGAUACCCGGGUAGUCC